RNAcentral lists this long non-coding RNA (1342 nucleotides) under Canis lupus familiaris (dog). Its description in RNAcentral is "lncRNA (ENSCAFG00845029298.1)". The record is from RNAcentral. Lineage: Eukaryota; Metazoa; Chordata; Mammalia; Carnivora; Canidae.
AUGUUCACGAGCACGGCUCCACCCCACCCCAGCCAGACAAAUCCCUUCCCUCCUCCGACUCUGCUGAAUCAGGUUGGAAUUUCUCAAAAGCAAACAAACAGGCGAGCUCAGAGUUGCGGUUUUCAGAGCUCAGAUUCCUCCCGUCUGUCUGAGCCAGCAUCCAGCCCGGCCGGCCGCCCCCAGGCAGGCUGGACGGGGCCCCCAGCUGAGCCCCCCAGUCCCCGGCUGUUGGAGCGGAGUGGGGGUACCAGGCUCAGAGCUGACCCGCAGCACCGGGCCGCCCCACUUCCCUCUCGAGACCCCGCAAGCGAGGCAGGAGGCCGCGGACGGCGCCAAACACAAGGGACACCUGGCCUGGCCGGGAACCAGGAGGCCGAGAAGGGAAUCGGGGCCAGUCUGGCCCACACGUGGACAGCAGCGGUGAGCAGCAAGGCCGGUCCAAGCUGUUUCGGUAGGUGGCCUCAAAUGCUUCCACAAGAAGGUGGCACAUGGAUGGGGCUCAGCUCGCUCUGGUCAGCUGGAUCAGGGCUGAGAGCUGGGGAGUCAGCCUGCACUGGUGGGGGAAGGUGGAACUGGCCCCUUCAGCAGAGCGCCCAGAAGGUCCCCGAGGCCUCAGGUGUCGCUGCUCCCCUAAGCACCUCUGACAAGACCAAGACGACUGCUCAUCACUUUAGAGGAAAUGUUUGCGGAUUCUUCCCUACCAUCUGCUAAACCCAGCCACAGGCUGCCUUCAGGGGAGACUGCCCCUUCAGUCUGGGGAGCUGGAACGUGGAGCUACCCUAUAGAUGUCUGCAGGGCUGUCCCUGGGCGAAGGAAGCAGCCCGGGUCUAGGGGAGAAAUUUCUGGAAGGAGGUUUGUUGCUCCCAGAUGGAGAAGAGAAGUGAUGUUGUGCAGAGUGUCUGGGAGUCAAGCAAAGGAGGGGAGCAUUGGGAAGGGAGGAGGGGGCGGGGGACAUGGGGCCACUGCACUGGAUCUGAAGGGCAUUUUCCUGAUUCCAGCUUUGGGCUCCUGGCCUUCCUCCUGGGACCCUCGGCGGGAGUCUGUUCUCUGCCCGUCAGCUGCCCAGGGGCUGCCGACCUGGGGCCUGGAUGCUGAGGACCUUGGAGCCCACAUGUCCAUCGGCCCAGCGGGAGCCUGAGCCCUCCUCCCUCCCAGCCCAGGACUGGGGAAGUGAGGACUAACAAUGUUCUGGAUCAGGGCAUAAGGGCAGAGGUCUGAGGCUGGAGGACGUGUCCCAGGUCAGCCCAGGGGGGCCUCAGGGGCUAUUGUUGUGAGUAGCGGUCAUUGAUUGGUCGGUGCCCAGCAUUGUGUCAAUAAAUUGUACCUGUUAUAUACACACCUC